UUAUGUAAAGUCUAGCCUGCCCAGUGAUAAUUGAAUUUAACGGCCGCGGUAGCAUGACCGUGCUAAGGUAGCAUAAUCAUUUGUCCUUUAAUUGAGGACUGGUAUAAACGGCUGCACAAGAAAUUGUCUGUCUCUACUAUAAAAUUUGAAAUUCACAUUUAAGUGAAAAGGCUUAAAUGGAAUAGGGGGACGAUAAGACCCUAUAAAUCUUUACAAUUAGGGCUUUAGUUAUUAGAAAGUAGUUAUGGAUCUAAAUCUAAGGUUUAAAUUGUUUUGUUGGGGCGACAGAAGUAUAAUAAGUAACUGCUUUGGUUUUCAUAUUAAUUGUUUUUAUUAUGGUUAGUUUAAAAGAUCCUCUUUUGGAGAUCACAGAUUAAGUUACUUUAGGGAUAACAGCGUAAUCUUUCUUGAGAGUUCAUAUCGAAAGAAGGGUUUGCGACCUCGAUGUUGAAUUAAAGAACCUUUAUGGUGUAGCCGCUAUAAGAGGA
This 488-nucleotide ribosomal RNA is filed under the name Panulirus argus (Caribbean spiny lobster). RNAcentral describes it as "partial 16S ribosomal RNA". It matches the Rfam family "Bacterial large subunit ribosomal RNA", at positions 1843 to 2572 of the family's 2925-position model. Lineage: Eukaryota; Metazoa; Arthropoda; Malacostraca; Decapoda; Palinuridae. The record is from RNAcentral.